RNAcentral lists this long non-coding RNA (1329 nucleotides) under Betta splendens (Siamese fighting fish). RNAcentral's name for it is "lncRNA (ENSBSLG00000011459.1)". The record is from RNAcentral. Lineage: Eukaryota; Metazoa; Chordata; Actinopteri; Anabantiformes; Osphronemidae.
AUGCUCACCUUCCUGUCGCCGCUCAUCCCGGACAGCAUCUUCCAGAGGAUCCGUUCCCUAUGUGCACCUCCAGUCUUGUUCUUGUUCACCCACUAUUUAAACUCUGCAGAGGCAACAUCCGACCCAGACAUCAAAGACAACCUCUUCCGUGAAGCAACUGCGCUUGCCAUCAGGCAACCUGCACUGCGUGAGGCCCUGGGAUUCACUGAGCCGCAGUCAGAGCCUGCAUCAGUUCCUGCACCUCAGACUGCAUCAUUUCUUUGCGUCACAGUCUGCAUUAGCCUCUACAUUACAGGCUGCAUCGGUUCCUGCGUCUCAGCCGGCAUCGGUUCCUGCGUCUCAGCCGGCAUCGGUUCCUGCGUCUCAGCCGGCAUCGGUUCCUGCGUCUCAGCCGGCAUCGGUUCCUGCGUCUCAGCCGGCAUCGGUUCCUGCGUCUCAGCCGGCAUCGGUUCCUGCGUCUCAGCCGGCAUCGGUUCCUGCGUCUCAGCCGGCAUCGGUUCCUGCGUCUCAGCCAGUCCUGUCUUGGCCCCAGCUCAGCCACGUCACGCUCGGGCUCCAGCUCAGCCACGUCACGCUCGGGCUCCAGCUUUAGGCCAGCCAGUGUGCACCUCACGCCAGCCAAGCCAGGCCUCAGUCCCUGUCGGCCUCCCCGAAGAGGUCGCUCCUGCUGCAGUCCCUGUCGGCCUCCCCGAAGAGGUCGCUCCUGCUCCAGUCCCUGUCGGCCUCCCCGAACAGGUCGCUCCUGCUCCAGUCCCUGUCGGCCCCCGAAGAGGUCGCUCCUGCUCCAGUCCCUGUCGGCCCCCGAAGAGGUCGCUCCUGCUCCAGUCCCUGUCGGCCCCCGAAGAGGUCGCUCCUGCUCCAGUCCCUGUCGGCCCCCGAAGAGGUCGCUCCUGCUCCAGUCCCUGUCGGCCCCCGAAGAGGUCGCUCCUGCUCCAGUCCCUGUCGGCCCCCGAAGAGGUCGCUCCUGCUCCAGUCCCUGUCGGCCCCCGAAGAGGUCGCUCAUGCUCCUGUCGGCCCCCGAAGAGGUCGCUCAUGCUCCUGUCGGCCCCCGAAGAGGUCGCUCAUGCUCCUGUCGACCACGAAGAGGUCGCUCAUGCUCCUGUCGACCACGAAGAGGUCGCUCAUGCUCCUGUCGACCACGAAGAGGUCGCUCAUGCUCCUGUCGACCACGAAGAGGUCGCUCAUGCUCCUGUCGACCACGAAGAGGCCGCUCAUGCUCCUGUCGGCCCUCCAGGGGUCGCUCAUGCUCCUGUCGGCCCUCCAGGGGUCGCUCAUGCUCCUGUCGGCCCUCCAGGGGUCGCUCAUGCCCUAGUUCCUGUCGGCCUCUAG